Long non-coding RNA from Odontomachus brunneus, 3270 nucleotides. RefSeq lists it as uncharacterized. The transcript has 3 exons. NCBI's taxonomy places the organism in Eukaryota, Metazoa, Arthropoda, Insecta, Hymenoptera, Formicidae. The record is from RefSeq and is a predicted model, not a curated record.
GAUAGACGGGAGGAGAGAAAGAGACAAAGAGAGAUAGGACCAAGUGUAAGCAGACGAGGAGGCGACGGUAGGAGGAUGGAUACGGACGACGUGUUGGAGGGAGAGAAAGACUCGGAUCCGCCACCGGGCGGGCAAAGCGCGGAGAGGAGAAAGGAGAACGAGGUAGAGAGAUUGGGUUAACGGGGAGGUGAGGGUGUAAGGAGCCGGGUAGAGAGCCGGCGAGAGAAGCAGGACGAAGAGGGACAGCCGGCAGAAGGAGAAAUAAUGGAACUGCGAGAUAAAAAAGGCGAUUGCGAGAGGAAAGUCGACGAGCGUCGAGCGUGCGGCCGGGCGAGAGGUGGCCGCGAAGAGAAGAGGAAUCGGCCGACGGACACGCCGGGCGACGUAAAAAGAUCGUGAAAGUUCCAGGCGAGGGAGAAGAAGCUGGUGUGACGAGAAAAACGAGGACCAGUAGGUAGGGAACAGAAGGGCCCGCUGGCAGACAAGAAUAAAAAGAGGGAAACUGAGAGGAGGAGGAGAAGAAGGAGACGAAGAAGACGCUACCGAGGAUUCGAGGAUCGAAUCGAAUGGAUGCUGGGCGAGAAGCGCGCGCUUUGAAGGAAGGUGUGACUGCUUGAGGAGGAGAGCUCUUCUCGUCGUGUGAGACAAAACCUUCGUCCGACCGGUGGCUCAUAGAAGAGUGUCAACGUUAUCGAGCAACCGACUGCCGUUGGGACGAGACGGCCGUACAAGUGUCGAGAACGAAAGCAGGUAAACAUUUGCUACGGGAAUAGACCGCAGCAGUGGCGUGUUCGCCAAGACACCGCUGGUCGCAGCAAAGACGAACGGUGCCCGGAGGCACCGCAAAGACAAGCUUGGGAACAAGAAAAAGGCUCGCGGUGGCGCGGCAAGAUCCACGAGAGACCGUCAGCACUCACCGGUUACACACGACGCGGAUCAACCCCGGCGCGAUCGUCGCCAAUUAAAGAAAAAAAAAGGAAGGGACCGACCUACCGAUUACUCGCAAAGAGCGACGCAAGAACAAAGCGAAGGACGCCGCGGAGAGCGGAAUCGACCCGGAGAGAGAAAGAGAAAUACCGGCGCGAAGCCGCGGAGGAGAGCUGUAACGAGAGAGCGAGAGACCUGCAUAAGCGAGAAGAAGAAAAAUAAGUGGAGAAACGAGAGAGAAAGAGAGAGGGAAAGAGAGAGAAAGACUCCCGACGGUUCACUCGAGAACGGAUCUACCGGGUGGCAGAAGGGAGACGCGCGCGCCAAGAAGACACCCAAGGUAGACUCGAGUGGUACUAACGGACGGACGAAGCGGUAGAAGACGUAGAUAGAAGGACAGGUACGAGACAUGGUGCGCCCGCGGAGCGACGAGGAGAACGAACCGGUUCUCUCGCUCCUUCCUCUUCCGACGGUUCGAUCCGCUGACGUCGCGACGUCGGAUUUGAACGCACCAAUCGCCGUUCGCGAACACCACGUCCGCCGGCUAAAAAAGCCGGCUACGGGGAUCAGGGAGCAGCCAGGUAGGGGGAACGAAGUGGGGACCUCGAGGGACCGAAAGGUGCGUGCGGCCCAGGACGUGGGGCGUGGGGCCAGUUGAUCAGUGAGUGCGGUAGUGAUCUCAUCUCGUACCGCGCCAGGUGUAACUCUGCUCUUUCUCUCUUUUUUUCUCUCUCUCUCUCCUUCUUUCUUUCUCUUCAUCUCUCUCUCUCUCUCUCUCUCUCUCUCUCUCUCUCUCUUUCUUCCGCUCGCUCUUUUUCUCCCUCGUUCUUUCUCUCUAUCUUUUCGGGCUCUGUGUGUCCUCGGUACGACGGAGGCAGUGAUGGAGUUAAAUUUUACGGAUCCAUCCGCUCCGAUCCGGAGCCGAACAUAGCAGCAGCAACAACAGCAGCAGUAGCAGCAGAUAGUAGGCACGACGCGGCCGCGUGUAUUAUGUGCCGAUGUGAUCACGAGUAAUCGGAAUUCGCGACCUGGAAAGCGGAGUGCUAAACGUGCGAUCUUCCGACUGAGACGAGAGAGAAACUCACGAUUUGGCUUACGAUUCACUCACAGCUCAUGGUGCUCAUUUUACCUCCCAACAUUAUCCAUAUCUUUAUGAUAUUAUAAAAAAAAAAUGCUUAAAACAAAGUAAUGUGCGCGCCAAUAAUUGUGACCAAAGCGUUCGCGCUGUAAUACUCGUAUCGUGAAAAUAAAAGCGUUGUAAAUGAUUACAUUUAUACACUGAGAGGAAAAAUAUCGUAGGCGCUACCUAAAGUCUAGAACCAUCAAGCAAGACUUAAGUCUGAAAUUUUGUCUGAAAACCGUCCGAAUUAAAGCGAGAAAAUUGGAAAUGUGCGAGUCAUAUGUGCGAGAACAAAGGACAAUAACAAAGGACAAUAACAAAGGACAAAGUAUUUAAAGGACAAAGAUUAACGGCGAAUCUUCUGCUUUCAGGCUUUCAUUUUGAAUCUUUAACUUAUCUAUUAUCAGAGUGGUUCAGCGCGAUUGGAAUAAAAAUCUACUAUCGUAUCAAGAGGAUCUUGGCGCGGACAUUUUCUUUGGUUAUCUAGCUGUAUGAGUUUUAUUCGACAUCAUAAAGCUAGGUUACCGGAGUUAAGCUCCUCGCCAUAUCAACUCCACCGAUCUUCCCCUUGGAGCGUCUCUACGCUUCAGCGAAAAUAAAGAACCGAGACGCCGAAUACUGUUACACCUGACGUGUCUUGAACAUCGUCGCGGCAUCGACUUAUUGAAUAACAAAGGCGCAGACAAAACAAAAAGAAAAAGAUAAUAACUGAACGUUCGUUCUUCGACAACGAAUUUCAACUCGAUUGACACGUCUCUAUCGCACACAGAUAGAAUUAUUCGUUUCGCGCGAUAUUGGGCGCUCAGUCGAAGUACUCGAAAAUUGCAGUGUGAUCCGAUCAUUGUGAGACUAUUUAGAUAUUAUAAUUGUAAGGUGUGUCGCAUUUUUUUAAUAAAUAUAUGUAUUGUGGAAUAUCGCAUUUUAAUAGGUGAAAUUAAUUUGAAUGAAAUAAGCGCGUCUUGGUUGAACGAAACUGAAUUUCUAGUUUUUAGAAUUUAUGAAUUUAGUUCAUACACUGUGAGAGAAGAAAUAUUUAAGAAAUCUAAGAAAUAAAAGAUAUUUAUUUCUUGAGUAUUCUUACAUUAACAUAAGAUUGGUUCACUCUUACAUUAACAUACUACUGUGUCCAAAAAGUAAGACCAGUUUUUAUUUAUUCUUCCAAAUCUAUUUCGUCGCCUUCAAAGUAAUUCCCUCCUGACAUAAUACACUUAUGCCAACGUAUU